Molecule: non-coding RNA, 108 nt
Organism: Thelonectria olida
Lineage: Eukaryota; Fungi; Ascomycota; Sordariomycetes; Hypocreales; Nectriaceae
Source: the annotation of a GenBank genome assembly
GGAGGGAUGGCCGAGCGGUCUAAGGCGCUGUGUUCAGGUUGAUAUCCAACCCAGGACGAUACUUUCGCAGUCUAGUAAUAGGCGUGGGUUCGAAUCCCACUUCCUUCA